RNAcentral lists this ribosomal RNA (496 nucleotides) under uncultured bacterium. RNAcentral's name for it is "partial 16S ribosomal RNA". It matches the Rfam family "Bacterial small subunit ribosomal RNA", at positions 29 to 507 of the family's 1533-position model. The record is from RNAcentral.
AUGAACGCUGGCGGCGUGCCUAAUACAUGCAAGUCGAGCGAACGGACGAGAAGCUUGCUUCUCUGAUGUUAGCGGCGGACGGGUGAGUAACGCGUGGAUAACCUACCUAUAAGACUGGGAUAACUUCGGGAAACCGGAGCUAAUACCGGAUGAUAUUUUGAACCGCAUGGUUCAAAAGUGAAAGACGGUCUUGCUGUCACUUAUAGAUGGAUCCGCGCUGCAUUAGCUAGUUGGUAAGGUAACGGCUUACCAAGGCAACGAUGCAUAGCCGACCUGAGAGGGUGAUCGGCCACACUGGAACUGACACACGGUCCAGACUCCUACGGGAGGCAGCAGUAGGGAAUCUUCCGCAAUGGGCGAAAGCCUGACGGAGCAACGCCGCGUGAGUGAUGAAGGUCUUCGGAUCGUAAAACUCUGUUAUUAGGGAAGAACAUAUGUGUAAGUAACUGUGCACAUCUUGACGGUACCUAAUCAGAAAGCCACGGCUAACUACGUG